AUUUAAAUAGUUUAAUAAAAAUAUUGACUUGUGGUGUCAAAGUUAUAUCAUUAUUUUAAAUA
Molecule: transfer RNA, 62 nt
Filed under: unidentified
Description: Exostira schroederi tRNA-His
Source: RNAcentral